GACAGAGGGUGCAAACGUUGCUCGGAAUCAUUGGGCGUAAAGCGCGUGUAGGCGGUCCGGUAAGUCCGCUGUGAAAGUCGGGGGCUCAACCCUCGAAUGCCGGUGGAUACUGUCGGGCUAGAGUGCGGAAGAGGCGAGUGGAAUUCCUGGUGUAGCGGUGAAAUGCGCAGAUAUCAGGAGGAACACCAAUUGCGAAGGCAGCUCUCUGGGACGGUACUGACGCUGAGACGCGAAAGCGUGGGGAGCGAACAGG
RNAcentral lists this ribosomal RNA (253 nucleotides) under uncultured bacterium. RNAcentral describes it as "partial 16S ribosomal RNA". It matches the Rfam family "Bacterial small subunit ribosomal RNA", at positions 524 to 776 of the family's 1533-position model. The record is from RNAcentral.